RNAcentral lists this transfer-messenger RNA (450 nucleotides) under Candidatus Altimarinota bacterium. It matches the Rfam family "transfer-messenger RNA". Rfam says of the family: Bacterial tmRNA, also known as 10Sa RNA or SsrA, is named for its dual tRNA and mRNA-like properties. The record is from RNAcentral. Lineage: Bacteria; Candidatus Altimarinota.
GGGGAUGAUAUAGGAUUCGAUAAAGAGAAUCGUAUGGUCACUCGUGCUGUCUCGGGGCAGUCAGCCUCGUCAUCAAAUGACAAACAACAGAUGCAAAAACAUCUUCUCGCUUCGGUGGUCUUGCAACACUUCUUCGUGGAGCUUCUGCAAAAUUCACUCCAGCAACAACUCUCGCUGCCUAACCGCUCGAAAGUGUAGCCUUUCCUUAGGGAAUGAGUGCCGUAUGGCCUGCUACAAACUUCUUUGUUUCAAGCUUAUAGAGCAAAGACGUAUUAUAAGCCUCACUCCGUAGGAUUCCUCAUUGCGUAAGGAAGUGAGUAUACGAAAUGGGUUUAUUCUGGCUUUUUGUCAUUUUUCUAUCAGAAUAAGUAUCCAAAAAUGAAUCAUAGACAGGAAUACACGCUGAUAAUACCUCUUUACACGCGGGGGCGGUGCCCGCCAUCUCCACCA